UCAAUGACCUAAUUAGUGAACUCGGAAAUGUACUCUUAGAUACGGCUUCAACUGCAUUUGGACCAGCGGGUAAACAGCGUCAAAGAUCAACUCAAAACAAACCAUGGUUUAAAAAAGACUGCAAGAUUAUGCGUGAUGAGUUCCACAGAGCAAGAAGGAAAUACAAAAAAAAUAAGACUGCUGAUAACAAAACACUGAUGAAUAUGAAGGCUAAAGAAUACCGACA
RNAcentral lists this long non-coding RNA (226 nucleotides) under Mytilus galloprovincialis (Mediterranean mussel). The record is from RNAcentral. Lineage: Eukaryota; Metazoa; Mollusca; Bivalvia; Mytilida; Mytilidae.